UGGCGGACGGGUGAGUAAUGUCUGGGAAACUGCCCGAUGGAGGGGGAUAACUACUGGAAACGGUAGCUAAUACCGCAUAACGUCGCAAGACCAAAGAGGGGGACCUUAGGGCCCCUUGCCAUCGGAUGUGCCCAGAUGGGAUUAGCUAGUAGGUGGGGUAACGGCUCACCUAGGCGACGAUCCCUAGCUGGUCUGAGAGGAUGACCAGCCACACUGGAACUGAGACACGGUCCAG
RNAcentral lists this ribosomal RNA (235 nucleotides) under uncultured bacterium. Its description in RNAcentral is "partial 16S ribosomal RNA". It matches the Rfam family "Bacterial small subunit ribosomal RNA", at positions 96 to 334 of the family's 1533-position model. The record is from RNAcentral.